Molecule: long non-coding RNA, 466 nt
Organism: Chelonia mydas (Green sea turtle)
Lineage: Eukaryota; Metazoa; Chordata; Testudines; Cheloniidae
Exons: 2
Source: RefSeq, a predicted model, not a curated record
AGUGCGACCCUUCAAAGGUCUAUUUUGGAUUUCAAAAAGAGACACAUGAAUCACCCUGAAAGAAACUUUCUGUUUCUCUCAAGCAAGAAGAGGGCUUUUAAAAAUCUAUAUACUGAAUGGAAUGAUUUCAGCAGAGGAGGAGGAAGAGUCUGCAUGGAUUCCAGCUGAAAAUUUCUACGAGCAGGUGGAAGGAAGAUGUUGCUUUUGAGUCAUCAGACUGUAUAGAUUUGGUGAUCAAAGACUCUAACUGAGACUCAGGUGAACACAGCCUAAGUUUUUGGGAACUCCGAGUUUCUUCUCACUGUGUUUCUGUGGGGACUGAUUUGCUUAGAUUAUUUUUUUAAUUUAUGUUUAUGUAUAACUGUGAAAAUAAUGUAUGUAGCUUAUAAAGUAGUCAUGUUACAUUGUAUAAAUUAAGUUGUUGUUUAUUAUGUUUCUUUAUAAUAAGAUUUUGUCAAGCUGGUAA